This 761-nucleotide ribosomal RNA is filed under the name Thermococcus celericrescens. RNAcentral's name for it is "bacterial LSU rRNA". It matches the Rfam family "Archaeal large subunit ribosomal RNA", at positions 2212 to 2929 of the family's 2987-position model. Lineage: Archaea; Methanobacteriati; Methanobacteriota; Thermococci; Thermococcales; Thermococcaceae. The record is from RNAcentral.
UGCGCAGCGUAGGCGGGAGGCGUCGAAGCCCGCCCUCCGGGGGCGGGUGGAGCCGUCCAUGAGACACCGCCCACCCUCUGCCGUAUGGCUAACCUCCGAUGGGGGGGACAGCGGUAGGUGGGCAGUUUGGCUGGGGCGGCACACCCUCGAAAAGGUAUCGAGGGUGCCCUAAGGUCGGCUCAGGCGGGUCAGGAAUCCGCCGUAGAGUGCAAGGGCAAAAGCCGGCCUGACUGGACCCGUAACAGAGGCGGGUCCAGCCGCGAAAGCGUGGCCUAGCGAACCCCUGAGCCUCCCCGGUGGGGGCCAGGGAUGACAGAAAAGCUACCCUGGGGAUAACAGAGUCGUCUCGGGCGAGAGCCCAUAUCGACCCCGAGGCUUGCUACCUCGCUGUCGGCUCUUCCCAUCCUGGUCCUGCAGCAGGGGCCAAGGGUGGGGGUGUUCACCCAUUAAAGGGGAACGUGAGCUGGGUUUAGACCGUCGUGAGACAGGUCGGAUGCUAUCUACCGGAGGUGCUGGGUGCCUGAGGGGAAGGCUCCCCCAGUACGAGAGGAACAGGGAGCCGCGGCCUCUGGUCUACCGGUUGUCCUACAGGGCACAGCCGGGCAGCUACGCCGCGUCCGAUAAGGCCUGAAAGCAUCUAAGGCCGAAGCGGUCCCCGAAAAUAGGCACCCACUCCCAGGCGCAGGGGGUCGGGCGACCGGUCCUUUGCCUGGGACGAGGGCUCGGGAAGAAGACCCGUUUGAUGGGGCGGGGAUGUAAGC